AGAAAUCUUUUGUAUCAAUACCGCAAGAGGUGGGGCAGCCCAUGCAUGCAUCAUCGCCUCAACACAUGCAUGCAUGAUUAACAUACAACAGUAGUUCCAAAUUGUUAUACCUAAACAAACUCUAUCUAAUUCUUAACUCCGUCCCAGGUGGUGUUGCAUCAGCAUUUUCUUAUAAAGAUAUAUAGGUUAAAAAAAUAAUAACUGCUUUAGGCGUUUAUAUCUGACAUUGUUAAUUUGAU
This is a long non-coding RNA of Nilaparvata lugens (brown planthopper), 239 nucleotides long. RefSeq lists it as uncharacterized. The transcript has 3 exons. NCBI's taxonomy places the organism in Eukaryota, Metazoa, Arthropoda, Insecta, Hemiptera, Delphacidae. The record is from RefSeq and is a predicted model, not a curated record.